RNAcentral lists this ribosomal RNA (253 nucleotides) under uncultured bacterium. RNAcentral describes it as "partial 16S ribosomal RNA". It matches the Rfam family "Bacterial small subunit ribosomal RNA", at positions 524 to 776 of the family's 1533-position model. The record is from RNAcentral.
UACGAAGGGGGCUAGCGUUGCUCGGAAUUACUGGGCGUAAAGGGCGCGUAGGCGGUUCUAUAAGUCAGGCGUGAAAUUCCUGGGCUUAACCUGGGGGCUGCGCUUGAGACUGCGGGACUUGAGGUCAGAAGAGGGUCGUGGAAUUCCCAGUGUAGAGGUGAAAUUCGUAGAUAUUGGGAAGAACACCGGUGGCGAAGGCGGCGACCUGGUCUGAUACUGACGCUGAGGCGCGACAGCGUGGGGAGCAAACAGG